UGCGUCUUAGCUCAGCUGGGAGAGCAUCUGCCUUACAAGCAGAGGGUCAUAGGUUCGAGCCCUAUAGGUCCCA
RNAcentral lists this transfer RNA (73 nucleotides) under Coprococcus sp. RNAcentral describes it as "tRNA-Val". It matches the Rfam family "tRNA". Rfam says of the family: Transfer RNA (tRNA) molecules are approximately 80 nucleotides in length. Their secondary structure includes four short double-helical elements and three loops (D, anti-codon, and T loops). Lineage: Bacteria; Bacillati; Bacillota; Clostridia; Lachnospirales; Lachnospiraceae. The record is from RNAcentral.